This 265-nucleotide ribosomal RNA is filed under the name uncultured archaeon. Its description in RNAcentral is "partial 16S ribosomal RNA". It matches the Rfam family "Archaeal small subunit ribosomal RNA", at positions 717 to 982 of the family's 1478-position model. The record is from RNAcentral.
AGACGUCUACAUUAGAUACCCGUGUAGUCCCAGCCGUAAACUAUGCGCGUUAGGUGUAUCGGUGACCACGAGUUACCGAGGUGCCGAAGGGAAACCGUGAAACGUGCCGCCUGGGAAGUACGGUCGCAAGGCUGAAACUUAAAGGAAUUAGCGGGGGAGCACCACAACAGGUGGAGCCUGCGGUUUAAUUGGACUCAACGCCGGGAAGCUCACCGGAUAGGACAGCAGAAUGAUUGCCGGGCUGAAGACCCUGCAUGACUAGCUG